GUGAGGAAUAUUGGUCAAUGGGCGGGAGCCUGAACCAGCCAAGUCGCGUGAAGGAAGAAGGAUCUAUGGUUCGUAAACUUCUUUUGCAGGGGAAUAAAGUGCAGGACGUGUCCUGUUUUGUAUGUACCCUGAGAAUAAGGAUCGGCUAACUCCGUGCCAGCAGCCGCGGUAAUACGGAGGAUCCGAGCGUUAUCCGGAUUUAUUGGGUUUAAAGGGUGCGUAGGUGGUUUGAUAAGUCAGCGGUGAAAGUUUGCAGCUUAACUGUAAAAAUGCCGUUGAAACUGUCGGACUUGAGUGUAAAUGAGGUAGGCGGAAUGCGUGGUGUAGCGGUGAAAUGCAUAGAUAUCACGCAGAACUCCGAUUGCGAAGGCAGCUUACUAAGCUACAACUGACACUGAAGCACGAAAGCGUGGGGAUCAAACAGGAUUGGAUACCCCGGUAGUCC
This 445-nucleotide ribosomal RNA is filed under the name uncultured bacterium. RNAcentral describes it as "partial 16S ribosomal RNA". It matches the Rfam family "Bacterial small subunit ribosomal RNA", at positions 354 to 796 of the family's 1533-position model. The record is from RNAcentral.